Small nucleolar RNA from Asterias rubens (European starfish), 78 nucleotides. RefSeq annotates it as small nucleolar RNA R38. Lineage: Eukaryota; Metazoa; Echinodermata; Asteroidea; Forcipulatida; Asteriidae. The record is from RefSeq and is a predicted model, not a curated record. The transcript has a single exon.
ACCUUUCAUUGAUGAAAUUUGUUAUCCCUGUCUGAGAAAUUUCAAAUAUGCGGAUAAUUUGUAUAUUCUGAGACUGGU